This 550-nucleotide ribosomal RNA is filed under the name uncultured bacterium. RNAcentral's name for it is "bacterial SSU rRNA". It matches the Rfam family "Bacterial small subunit ribosomal RNA", at positions 355 to 896 of the family's 1533-position model. The record is from RNAcentral.
UGGGGAAUCUUCCGCAAUGGACGAAAGUCUGACGGAACAACGCCGCGUGAGUGAUGACGGCCUUCGGGUUGUAAAGCUCUGUUAAUCGGGACGAAUGGUUCUUGUGCAAAUAGUGCGAGGAUUUGACGGUACCGGAAUAGAAAGCCACGGCUAACUACGUGCCAGCAGCCGCGGUAAUACGUAGGUGGCAAGCGUUGUCCGGAAUUAUUGGGCGUAAAGCGCGCGCAGGCGGAUUGGUCAGUCUGUCUUAAAAGUUCGGGGCUUAACCCCGUGAUGGGAUGGAAGCUGCCAAUCUAGAGUAUCGGAGAGGAAAGUGGAAUUCCUAGUGUAGCGGUGAAAUGCGUAGAUAUUAGGAAGAACACCAGUGGCGAAGGCGACUUUCUGGACGAAAACUGACGCUGAGGCGCGAAAGCCAGGGGAGCGAACGGGAUUAGAUACCCCGGUAGUCCUGGCCGUAAACGAUGGGUACUAGGUGUAGGAGGUAUCGACCCCUUCUGUGCCGGAGUUAACGCAAUAAGUACCCCGCCUGGGGAGUACGACCGCAAGGUUG